AAUUGUAUUAAAGGGCCGCAGUAUUCUAACUGUGCAAAGGUAGCAUAAUCGUUAGUUCUUUAAUUGAGAUCUUGUAUGAAUGAUUAGACAAAAGGAUUGCUGUCUUUAUAGUAAAAAUAGAAUUUAACUUUUAAGUGAAAAGGCUUAAAUUAUUUAGAGUGACGAUAAGACCCUAUAAAGCUUAAUAUUUUAUAAAAAUGUAAAUAAUAUAUAGGUUAAUAAAAUUUUAAAUAUUAUAAAUAUUUUAUUGGGGUGAUAGAAGUAAAAUUAAUAUAACUGCUUUAUAUUUAGACAAUUAUAAUUGAUUAUAUUAAAAUGAUCCUGUGAUAUGGAAUACAAGAUUAAGUUACUUUAGGGAUAACAGCGUUAUUUUUUUUGAGAGUUCUUAUCGAAAGAAAAGAUUGCGACCUCGAUGUUGAAUUAAAAUAUCUAUAUAAUUGUAGGAGUUAUAUUA
This 454-nucleotide ribosomal RNA is filed under the name Lithoscaptus scottae. RNAcentral describes it as "partial large subunit ribosomal RNA". The record is from RNAcentral. Lineage: Eukaryota; Metazoa; Arthropoda; Malacostraca; Decapoda; Cryptochiridae.